CAUGGUUGUCGUCAGCUCGUGUCGUGAGGAUGUGGUUAAGUCCCGCAACCGAGCGCAACCCUCGCCUCUAGUUGCCAGCAUUCGGUUGGGCACUCUAGAGGGACUGCCGGCGACAAGUCGGAGGAAGGUGGGGAUGACGUCAAAUCAUCAUGCCCCUUAUGACCUGGGCUACACACGUGCUACAAUGGGCGGUACAAAGGGCUGCGAACCCGCGAGGGGGAGCGAAUCCCAAAAAGCCGCUCUCAGUUCGGAUUGCAGGCUGCAACUCGCCUGCAUGAAGCCGGAAUCGCUAGUAAUCGCGGAUCAGCAUGCCGCGGUGAAUACGUUCCCGGGCCUU
This 337-nucleotide ribosomal RNA is filed under the name uncultured Geobacillus sp. RNAcentral's name for it is "bacterial SSU rRNA". It matches the Rfam family "Bacterial small subunit ribosomal RNA", at positions 1044 to 1382 of the family's 1533-position model. Lineage: Bacteria; Bacillati; Bacillota; Bacilli; Caryophanales; Anoxybacillaceae. The record is from RNAcentral.